UACGUAGGGGGCAAGCGUUGUCCGGAUUCAUUGGGCGUAAAGAGCUCGUAGGCGGCUUGGCAAGUCGGGUGUGAAACCUCCAGGCUCAACCUGGAGACGCCACCCGAUACUGCCAUGGCUAGAGUCCGGUAGGGGACCACGGAAUUCCUGGUGUAGCGGUGAAAUGCGCAGAUAUCAGGAGGAACACCGGUGGCGAAGGCGGUGGUCUGGGAAUGUCCUGACGCUGAGGAGCGAAAGUGUGGGGAGCGAACAGG
This 254-nucleotide ribosomal RNA is filed under the name uncultured bacterium. RNAcentral's name for it is "partial 16S ribosomal RNA". It matches the Rfam family "Bacterial small subunit ribosomal RNA", at positions 524 to 776 of the family's 1533-position model. The record is from RNAcentral.